Molecule: ribosomal RNA, 508 nt
Filed under: uncultured bacterium
Lineage: Bacteria
Description: partial 16S ribosomal RNA
Rfam family: Bacterial small subunit ribosomal RNA
Source: RNAcentral
AUUGAACGCUGGCGGCUUGCCUAACACAUGCAAGUCGAACGGCAGCACGAUUUAGUUUACUAGAUUGGUGGCGAGUGGCGCACGGGUGAGUAAUGCGUAGGAAUAUACCUUAAAGUGGGGGACAACCUGGGGAAACUCAGGCUAAUACCGCAUGAGCUCUAAGGAGGAAAGCUGGGGACCAGAGAUGGCCUGGCGCUUUAAGAAUAGCCUACGUCCGAUUAGCUAGUUGGUGAGGUAAAGGCUUACCAAGGCUACGAUCGGUAGCUGGUCUGAGAGGAUGAUCAGCCACACUGGGACUGAGACACGGCCCAGACUCCUACGGGAGGCAGCAGUGGGGGAUUUUGGACAAUGGGGGAAACCCUGAUCCAGCCAUGCCGCGUGAGUGAAGAAGGCCUUCGGGUUGUAAAGCUCUUUCGGCCGGGACGAAAUCGUACCUUCCAACACAAGGUGCGGAUGACGGUACCGGCAGAAGAAGGACCGGCUAACUACGUGCCAGCCGCCGCAGUAA